AGAAUCAACGCUGGCGGCGUGCCUAACACAUGCAAGUCGAACGAGAAAGUGGAGCAAUCCAUGAGUAAAGUGGCGACCGGGUGAGUAACACGUGACUAACCUACCUUCGAGUGGGGGAUAACCUCGGGAAACCGAGGCUAAUACCGCAUAACAUCGCAAGAUCAAAGCAGCAAUGCGCUGGAAGAGGGGGUCGCGGCUGAUUAGCUAGUUGGCGGGUAACGCCACAAGGCGAAGAUCGGUA
This 241-nucleotide ribosomal RNA is filed under the name uncultured bacterium. RNAcentral's name for it is "partial small subunit ribosomal RNA". It matches the Rfam family "Bacterial small subunit ribosomal RNA", at positions 26 to 285 of the family's 1533-position model. The record is from RNAcentral.